This 1440-nucleotide ribosomal RNA is filed under the name Salmonella enterica subsp. enterica serovar London. RNAcentral's name for it is "partial 16S ribosomal RNA". It matches the Rfam family "Bacterial small subunit ribosomal RNA". RNAcentral also lists the same sequence under 1 other name. The record is from RNAcentral. Lineage: Bacteria; Pseudomonadati; Pseudomonadota; Gammaproteobacteria; Enterobacterales; Enterobacteriaceae.
GAGUAAUGUCUGGGAAACUGCCUGAUGGAGGGGGAUAACUACUGGAAACGGUGGCUAAUACCGCAUAACGUCGCAAGACCAAAGAGGGGGACCUUCGGGCCUCUUGCCAUCAGAUGUGCCCAGAUGGGAUUAGCUUGUUGGUGAGGUAACGGCUCACCAAGGCGACGAUCCCUAGCUGGUCUGAGAGGAUGACCAGCCACACUGGAACUGAGACACGGUCCAGACUCCUACGGGAGGCAGCAGUGGGGAAUAUUGCACAAUGGGCGCAAGCCUGAUGCAGCCAUGCCGCGUGUAUGAAGAAGGCCUUCGGGUUGUAAAGUACUUUCAGCGGGGAGGAAGGUGUUGUGGUUAAUAACCACAGCAAUUGACGUUACCCGCAGAAGAAGCACCGGCUAACUCCGUGCCAGCAGCCGCGGUAAUACGGAGGGUGCAAGCGUUAAUCGGAAUUACUGGGCGUAAAGCGCACGCAGGCGGUCUGUCAAGUCGGAUGUGAAAUCCCCGGGCUCAACCUGGGAACUGCAUUCGAAACUGGCAGGCUUGAGUCUUGUAGAGGGGGGUAGAAUUCCAGGUGUAGCGGUGAAAUGCGUAGAGAUCUGGAGGAAUACCGGUGGCGAAGGCGGCCCCCUGGACAAAGACUGACGCUCAGGUGCGAAAGCGUGGGGAGCAAACAGGAUUAGAUACCCUGGUAGUCCACGCCGUAAACGAUGUCUACUUGGAGGUUGUGCCCUUGAGGCGUGGCUUCCGGAGCUAACGCGUUAAGUAGACCGCCUGGGGAGUACGGCCGCAAGGUUAAAACUCAAAUGAAUUGACGGGGGCCCGCACAAGCGGUGGAGCAUGUGGUUUAAUUCGAUGCAACGCGAAGAACCUUACCUGGUCUUGACAUCCACAGAACUUUCCAGAGAUGGAUUGGUGCCUUCGGGAACUGUGAGACAGGUGCUGCAUGGCUGUCGUCAGCUCGUGUUGUGAAAUGUUGGGUUAAGUCCCGCAACGAGCGCAACCCUUAUCCUUUGUUGCCAGCGAUUAGGUCGGGAACUCAAAGGAGACUGCCAGUGAUAAACUGGAGGAAGGUGGGGAUGACGUCAAGUCAUCAUGGCCCUUACGACCAGGGCUACACACGUGCUACAAUGGCGCAUACAAAGAGAAGCGACCUCGCGAGAGCAAGCGGACCUCAUAAAGUGCGUCGUAGUCCGGAUUGGAGUCUGCAACUCGACUCCAUGAAGUCGGAAUCGCUAGUAAUCGUGGAUCAGAAUGCCACGGUGAAUACGUUCCCGGGCCUUGUACACACCGCCCGUCACACCAUGGGAGUGGGUUGCAAAAGAAGUAGGUAGCUUAACCUUCGGGAGGGCGCUUACCACUUUGUGAUUCAUGACUGGGGUGAAGUCGUAACAAGGUAACCGUAGGGGAACCUGCGGUUGGAUCACCUCCUUACCUUAAAGAAGC